CCUACGGGAGGGCGCAGUGGGGAAUACUGCACAAUGGGCGCAAGCGGGAUGCAGCCAUGCCGCGUGUGUGAAGAAGGCCUUCGGGUUGUAAAGCACUGUCGGUCGUGAGGAAGGUAGUGUAGUAAUAGCUGCAUUAUUGACGUAGCGACA
Molecule: ribosomal RNA, 150 nt
Filed under: uncultured Vibrio sp.
Lineage: Bacteria; Pseudomonadati; Pseudomonadota; Gammaproteobacteria; Vibrionales; Vibrionaceae
Description: partial 16S ribosomal RNA
Rfam family: Bacterial small subunit ribosomal RNA
Source: RNAcentral